This 497-nucleotide ribosomal RNA is filed under the name uncultured bacterium. Its description in RNAcentral is "partial 16S ribosomal RNA". It matches the Rfam family "Bacterial small subunit ribosomal RNA", at positions 28 to 507 of the family's 1533-position model. The record is from RNAcentral.
GAUGAACGCUGGCGGCGUGCCUAAUACAUGCAAGUAGAACGCUGAAGGAAGGAGCUUGCUCUUUCCGGAUGAGUUGCGAACGGGUGAGUAACGCGUAGGUAACCUGCCUGGUAGCGGGGGAUAACUAUUGGAAACGAUAGCUAAUACCGCAUAACAGUAGAUGUUGCAUGAUAUCUACUUAAAAGGUGCAAUUGCACCACUACCAGAUGGACCUGCGUUGUAUUAGCUAGUUGGUGAGGUAACGGCUCACCAAGGCGACGAUACAUAGCCGACCUGAGAGGGUGAUCGGCCACACUGGGACUGAGACACGGCCCAGACUCCUACGGGAGGCAGCAGUAGGGAAUCGUCGGCAAUGGACGGAAGUCUGACCGAGCAACGCCGCGGGAGUGAAGAAGGUUUUCGGAUCGUAAAGCUCUGUUGUAAGAGAAGAACGAGUGUGAGAGUGGAAAGUUCACACUGUGACGGUAUCUUACCAGAAAGGGACGGCUAACUACGUG